This 91-nucleotide microRNA precursor is filed under the name Podarcis lilfordi (Lilford's wall lizard). The record is from RNAcentral. Lineage: Eukaryota; Metazoa; Chordata; Lepidosauria; Squamata; Lacertidae.
UGUCCAGUAGCACCUUAGAGACCAACUAAGCUUGUUCUUGGUAUAAGGUUUCGUGUGCAACCUUAGUUGGUCUCUAAGGUGCUACUGGACA